Molecule: ribosomal RNA, 444 nt
Filed under: Micrococcus sp. R-23109
Lineage: Bacteria; Bacillati; Actinomycetota; Actinomycetes; Micrococcales; Micrococcaceae
Description: bacterial SSU rRNA
Rfam family: Bacterial small subunit ribosomal RNA
Source: RNAcentral
GAUGAACGCUGGCGGCGUGCUUAACACAUGCAAGUCGAACGAUGAAGCCCAGCUUGCUGGGUGGAUUAGUGGCGAACGGGUGAGUAACACGUGAGUAACCUGCCCUUAACUCUGGGAUAAGCCUGGGAAACUAGGUCUAAUACCGGAUAGGAGCGCCUACCGCAUGGUGGGUGUUGGAAAGAUUUAUCGGUUUUGGAUGGACUCGCGGCCUAUCAGCUUGUUGGUGAGGUAAUGGCUCACCAAGGCGACGACGGGUAGCCGGCCUGAGAGGGUGACCGGCCACACUGGGACUGAGACACGGCCCAGACUCCUACGGGAGGCAGCAGUGGGGAAUAUUGCACAAUGGGCGAAAGCCUGAUGCAGCGACGCCGCGUGAGGGAUGACGGCCUUCGGGUUGUAAACCUCUUUCAGUAGGGAAGAAGCGAAAGUGACGUACCUGCAGAA